UGCGGAGGGAUCAUUACACAAAUAUGAAGGCGGGCUGGAACCUCUCGGGGUUACAGCCUUGCUGAAUUAUUCACCCUUGUCUUUUGCGUACUUCUUGUUUCCUUGGUGGGUUCGCCCACCACUAGGACAAACAUAAACCUUUUGUAAUUGCAAUCAGCGUCAGUAACAAAUUAAUAAUUACAACUUUCAACAACGGAUCUCUUGGUUCUGGCAUCGAUGAAGAACGCAGCGAAAUGCGAUAAGUAGUGUGAAUUGCAGAAUUCAGUGAAUCAUCGAAUCUUUGAACGCACAUUGCGCCCUUUGGUAUUCCAAAGGGCAUGCCUGUUCGAGCGUCAUUUGUACCCUCAAGCUUUGCUUGGUGUUGGGCGUCUUGUCUCUAGCUUUGCUGGAGACUCGCCUUAAAGUAAUUGGCAGCCGGCCUACUGGUUUCGGAGCGCAGCACAAGUCGCACUCUCUAUCAGCAAAGGUCUAGCAUCCAUUAAGCCUUUUUUUCAACUUUUGACCUCGGAUCAGGUAGGGAUACCCGCUGAACUUAAGCAUAUCAU
RNAcentral lists this ribosomal RNA (545 nucleotides) under Alternaria sp. 177. Its description in RNAcentral is "eukaryotic LSU rRNA". The stretch from base 182 to 335 matches the Rfam family "5.8S ribosomal RNA". The record is from RNAcentral. Lineage: Eukaryota; Fungi; Ascomycota; Dothideomycetes; Pleosporales; Pleosporaceae.